RNAcentral lists this ribosomal RNA (301 nucleotides) under uncultured bacterium. RNAcentral's name for it is "partial 16S ribosomal RNA". It matches the Rfam family "Bacterial small subunit ribosomal RNA", at positions 509 to 809 of the family's 1533-position model. The record is from RNAcentral.
CAGCAGCCGCGGGAAUACGAAGGGUGCAAGCGUUAAUCGGAAUUACUGGGCGUAAAGCGCGCGUAGGUGGUUUGGUAAGAUGGAUGUGAAAUCCCCGGGCUCAACCUGGGAACUGCAUCCAUAACUGCCUGACUAGAGUACGGUAGAGGGUGGUGGAAUUUCCUGUGUAGCGGUGAAAUGCGUAGAUAUAGGAAGGAACACCAGUGGCGAAGGCGACCACCUGGACUGAUACUGACACUGAGGUGCGAAAGCGUGGGGAGCAAACAGGAUUAGAUACCCCGGUAGUCCCUGUCUCUUAUAU